RNAcentral lists this ribosomal RNA (484 nucleotides) under uncultured bacterium. RNAcentral's name for it is "partial 16S ribosomal RNA". It matches the Rfam family "Bacterial small subunit ribosomal RNA", at positions 30 to 507 of the family's 1533-position model. The record is from RNAcentral.
AUUGAACGCUGGCGGCAGGCCUUACACAUGCAAGUCGAGCGGAAGAAGGGAUUUUGCUCCUGGAUUCAGCGGAGGGCGGGUGUGUAAUGCCUAGGAAUCUGCCUGGUAGUGGGGGAUAAAGUCGGGAACUGGGCUCUUACACCGCAUACGUCCUGAGGGAAAGAGUGGGGGCUCUUCGGACCUCACGCUAUCAGCUGCGCCGAGGUCGGAUUAGCUAGUUGGUGGGGUAAAGGCCUACCAAGGCGACGAUCCGUAGCUGGUCUGAGAGGAUGAUCAGUCACACUGGAACUGAGACACGGUCCAGACUCCUACGGGAGGCAGCAGUGGGGAAUUUUGGACAAUGGGCGAAAGCCUGAUCCAGCCAUGCCGCGUGUGUGAAGAAGGUCUUCGGAUUGUAAACCACUUUUAUUUGGAAGGAAGAGGAGUAAGUUAAUACCUUGCUGUUUUGACGUUACCAUCAGAAUAAGCACCGGCUAACUUCGUG